Long non-coding RNA from Alligator mississippiensis (American alligator), 1610 nucleotides. RefSeq lists it as uncharacterized. The record is from RefSeq and is a predicted model, not a curated record. Lineage: Eukaryota; Metazoa; Chordata; Crocodylia; Alligatoridae. The transcript has 2 exons.
CGGGGCUAAGACGCUGUGGCGGGGUGGGGGAGGGGCGCGCGCUGAGGGGGUGCGCGGCCGUUGCUCUGUGGGGGACGCUGAGGAGUCUCCCAUCAUCAUGGCUCCCACUUCAUAGCACAGCAGGGUGGGGAGGGCCCCCAGGAGGCUGUCGCAUCCCCCCUGCUCGGGGCAGGAUCGCCCCUGUUUGAACCUCCCCGAUGGGCCUCAGCUGUACUCAAAAGCCUCCUGCGAGGGAGAUCUCAUGACCCACGUAGACAGCACUGGAUUCAUCCCGGACACCUUCCCACCAAGGCAGCUCCUCCCGCCGGCCAUCCCGCCCACAGGCAGAGCCCUCUGCAGUCACCUGGCGCUGAACAAGGACCUGGUGUUGUCUGCUGAUGGUGGAAAAACACUGCAGUCGCUUUCCUCUGGUACUGGACAAGGAGCUUUACUGGAACGAGGGAACCAGCAUUAUCCUGAUCCAUCUACAUCUAUUACACGGCCAUGCUCUGCCAAGCAGUAGCAAGUACCAAGACUCCUGCAAGGAAACGCUGUUGGGAGAAAAAGCAAUCCAGCCAAAACGCCACUGGUGAGUCCAGCCAGCAAGAGAGUUGCACCAGCACGAGAGCGUGAGGAGGAAUGCAGGCUCCAGCCCUGCUUGCCAGCACUGCCCCCAAUGAAACCCCCUCACAUUAACAGCACUUCUUCAAAAACACUCAGAUGCUUGGGAAAGUCCUGUUUUGGGCUACAUAUAAGGACGGUGACUCCUGCCAAAUCAGUGCAUCCUCGCUUUUAACCCAUGCUGAAGCAAGGCCCUUCCGGUUAAUACCCCAACAUCUGUUUAAACCAGGGGUGGGUAAAAUACUACCCGCGGGUUCUGUCUGACCCACCGAUUGACUCCUGCAAGCGGGCAGGUGGCGGCUCUGCUGGCACCGCAAGGGAUGCUGGGCAGAAGCAGCCUCGCCUGCCUGGCACAGCACAGCAGGUCCUGUGCAAGCUGCGCUUAAGCCCCAGUGGUGCCACCCUGGGUGGAAGCAGGCCCACCUGCCCAGCUCUGCGUGGCAGGCCCUGGGCGAGUCGCACUCUGACCCCAGCACCCCAACUUGGGCUGGGCGGGCAGUGCCUCAUGUCUGUGUGUCUCAGAGCUAGUGGGAGCCGCCCCAGGCAGUAGGACUGUGCAGCAGGUGCUCCACACUUGUGCCCAAAGGUGGUGAAGCUUCCCCAGUCCCUCCCAACAGCAGAGCCCUAGCCCUGGCCCCACCUUUUUUGCCACCUGCAGCCACCGAGCUGGCCCAGCCACCUGCUGCCUCCCGCAUGGAGCCAGCACUGUUCCCAUCCUGUCUGGGACAGGGAACUGAAGCAGGCUGGAGGGGGCCACUGGGCUUCCACAGGCUAUGUGGGGGCAAGUGUGGAUGGGAAGGCAUGGGGUGCAGGUGGCUCAAGGGGCAUGUGGUGUAGGCUGAAGCAGGAGCUCCCUCGUGAUUGCAGAGGUGGCUGGAUGGCAGCUGGGCUCUGCUGGGGUGGCAGUGUCCUCCCUUGGCCGAGUGUCUUCCCUCUUGCAUAUGCUAUUCAACAAAACGUAAAUCAAGACACAAAUUAAUUUUUUAAAUAAAAUAUUUUAUAAAGUUUGA